GACGAACGCUGGCGGCACGCUUAACACAUGCAAGUCGAACGAGAGAAGAGGAGCUUGCUUUUCUGAUCUAGUGGCGGACGGGUGAGUAACACGUGAGCAAUCUGCCUUUCAGAGGGGGAUACCGAUUGGAAACGAUCGUUAAUACCGCAUAACAUAAUUGAACCGCAUGAUUUGAUUAUCAAAGAUUUAUCGCUGAAAGAUGAGCUCGCGUCUGAUUAGCUAGUUGGUAAGGUAACGGCUUACCAAGGCGACGAUCAGUAGCCGGACUGAGAGGUUGAUCGGCCACAUUGGGACUGAGACAUGGCCCAGACUCCUACGGGAGGCAGCAGUGGGGAAUAUUGCACAAUGGAGGAAACUCCGAUGCAGCGAUGCCGCGUGAGGGAAGAAGGUUUUAGGAUUGUAAACCUCUGUCUUCAGGGACGAAAAAAGACGGUACCUGAGGAGGAAGCUCCGGCUAACUACGUGCCAGCCGCCGCCGUAA
This 481-nucleotide ribosomal RNA is filed under the name uncultured bacterium. RNAcentral's name for it is "partial 16S ribosomal RNA". It matches the Rfam family "Bacterial small subunit ribosomal RNA", at positions 28 to 523 of the family's 1533-position model. The record is from RNAcentral.